This 372-nucleotide ribosomal RNA is filed under the name uncultured organism. RNAcentral describes it as "bacterial SSU rRNA". It matches the Rfam family "Bacterial small subunit ribosomal RNA", at positions 526 to 896 of the family's 1533-position model. The record is from RNAcentral.
CGUAGGGGGCGAGCGUUGUCCGGAUUUAUUGGGCGUAAAAGGCUUGUAGGCGGCCACCGCGCGUCGUGCGUGAAAUCUCCCGGCUCAACUGGGAGGGGUCGUGCGAUACGGCGGGGCUCGAGGCCGUAGGGGGACGCGGAAUUCCCGGUGUAGUGGUGGAAUGCGUAGAUAUCGGGAGGAACACCAGUGGCGAAGGCGGCAUCCUGGACCGGUGCUGACGCUGAGGAGCGAAAGCGUGGGGAGCGAUCCGGAUUAGAUACCCGGGUAGUCCACGCCGUAAACGGUGCGCACUAGGUGUCGGGGGUAUCGACCCCCCCGGUGCCGCAGCUAACGCAGUAAGUGCGCUGCCUGGGGAGUACGGCCGCAAGGCUA